AUACGUAGGGGGCGAGCGUUGUCCGGAAUGAUUGGGCGUAAAGGGCGCGUAGGCGGCCCGGUAAGUCUGGAGUGAAAGUCCUGUUUUUAAGAUGGGAAUUGCUUUGGAUACUGUCGGGCUUGAGUGCAGGAGAGGUAAGUGGAAUUCCCAGUGUAGCGGUGAAAUGCGUAGAGAUUGGGAGGAACACCAGUGGCGAAGGCGACUUACUGGACUGUAACUGACGCUGAGGCGCGAAAGUGUGGGGAGCAAACAGGAUUAGAUACCCUGGUAGUCCACACUGUAAACGAUUAAUGCUAGGUGUAGGGGGUAUCGACCCCUUCUGUGCCGCAGUCAACACAAUAAGCAUUCCGCCUGGGGAGUACGGCCGCAAGGUUGAAACUCAAAUGAAUUGACGGGG
RNAcentral lists this ribosomal RNA (397 nucleotides) under uncultured bacterium. RNAcentral describes it as "partial 16S ribosomal RNA". It matches the Rfam family "Bacterial small subunit ribosomal RNA", at positions 523 to 918 of the family's 1533-position model. The record is from RNAcentral.